Equus caballus (horse) is the source of this 213-nucleotide non-coding RNA. The record is from Rfam. Lineage: Eukaryota; Metazoa; Chordata; Mammalia; Perissodactyla; Equidae.
GUGAGGGGCUGGGCGAGAGGAGGGAGGGCGGAUGGGGAACGUGCGCCCCAAGAGCGAAGGCAAACAGCUGUGGAGGCGCUGCCCGGCUCAGGCUUCCCAACAGGUUAGCUAGACGGGGAUCCACCCGGCAUUUCGCAGGAAAAGGGAGGGGGGAGAGACUGAGCGUGAGGGGGAGAGAACCUCACAAGAGGACAGAGGGAGGGAGGGAGAGAU